CAGCAGCCGCGGGAACACGGAGGGAGCUAGCGUUGUUCGGAAUUACUGGGCGUAAAGCGCGCGUAGGCGGUUACUCAAGUCAGAGGUGAAAGCCCGGGGCUCAACCCCGGAACUGCCUUUGAAACUAGGUGACUAGAAUCUUGGAGAGGUCAGUGGAAUUCCGAGUGUAGAGGUGAAAUUCGUAGAUAUUCGGAAGAACACCAGUGGCGAAGGCGACUGACUGGACAAGUAUUGACGCUGAGGUGCGAAAGCGUGGGGAGCAAACAGGAUUAGAUACCCGAGUAGUCCCUGUCUCUUAUAA
Molecule: ribosomal RNA, 301 nt
Filed under: uncultured bacterium
Lineage: Bacteria
Description: partial 16S ribosomal RNA
Rfam family: Bacterial small subunit ribosomal RNA
Source: RNAcentral